This 253-nucleotide ribosomal RNA is filed under the name uncultured bacterium. RNAcentral's name for it is "partial 16S ribosomal RNA". It matches the Rfam family "Bacterial small subunit ribosomal RNA", at positions 524 to 776 of the family's 1533-position model. The record is from RNAcentral.
UACGGAGGAGGCAAGCGUUAUCCGGAAUUAUUGGGCGUAAAGCGUCCGCAGGUGGCACCUCAAGUCUGCUGUCAAAGACCGGGGCUUAACCCCAGAAAGGCAGUGGAAACUGAAGUGCUAGAGUGCAGUAGGGGUAGAGGGAAUUCCCGGUGUAGCGGUGAAAUGCGUAGAGAUCGGGAAGAACAUCGGUGGCGAAAGCGCUCUGCUGGACCGCAACUGACACUCAGGGACGAAAGCUAGGGGAGCGAAUGGG